This 674-nucleotide ribosomal RNA is filed under the name uncultured bacterium. RNAcentral's name for it is "bacterial SSU rRNA". It matches the Rfam family "Bacterial small subunit ribosomal RNA", at positions 79 to 748 of the family's 1533-position model. The record is from RNAcentral.
CUUGCUUCUCUUGAGAGCGGCGGACGGGUGAGUAAUGCCUAGGAAUCUGCCUGGUAGUGGGGGAUAACGUUCGGAAACGGACGCUAAUACCGCAUACGUCCUACGGGAGAAAGCAGGGGACCUUCGGGCCUUGCGCUAUCAGAUGAGCCUAGGUCGGAUUAGCUAGUUGGUGGGGUAAUGGCUCACCAAGGCGACGAUCCGUAACUGGUCUGAGAGGAUGAUCAGUCACACUGGAACUGAGACACGGUCCAGACUCCUACGGGAGGCAGCAGUGGGGAAUAUUGGACAAUGGGCGAAAGCCUGAUCCAGCCAUGCCGCGUGUGUGAAGAAGGUCUUCGGAUUGUAAAGCACUUUAAGUUGGGAGGAAGGGUUGUAGAUUAAUACUCUGCAAUUUUGACGUUACCGACAGAAUAAGCACCGGCUAACUCUGUGCCAGCAGCCGCGGUAAUACAGAGGGUGCAAGCGUUAAUCGGAAUUACUGGGCGUAAAGCGCGCGUAGGUGGUUUGUUAAGUUGGAUGUGAAAUCCCCGGGCUCAACCUGGGAACUGCAUUCAAAACUGACUGACUAGAGUAUGGUAGAGGGUGGUGGAAUUUUCCUGUGUAGCGGUGAAAUGCGUAGAUAUAGGAAGGAACACCAGUGGCGAAGCGACCACCCUGGACUAAUACUGACACUG